RNAcentral lists this ribosomal RNA (1241 nucleotides) under Dunaliella salina. RNAcentral describes it as "eukaryotic LSU rRNA". The stretch from base 624 to 1241 matches the Rfam family "Eukaryotic large subunit ribosomal RNA", at positions 1 to 647 of the family's 3401-position model. The record is from RNAcentral. Lineage: Eukaryota; Viridiplantae; Chlorophyta; Chlorophyceae; Chlamydomonadales; Dunaliellaceae.
UGAACCUGCGGAAGGAUCAUUGAAUCUAUCAAUAACCACACCGUGCACUUGUUUGUCUGGCCCAUCAUUCUCUCUUGAGUUUGGUGCUUCCCGGGUAGCAUUAAGUUGCUGCUUGGGUUGGGUCCGGCUAUCCAUCAACUUGGGUAGUCGGGCUGGUCCUUACUAACCAACAACACCAAAUCAAACCUAAAGCCAAAGAUAUGUGUUCGGCCUAGCCGUCACAUCCUAACUGAGACAACUCUCAACAACGGAUAUCUUGGCUCUCGCAACGAUGAAGAACGCAGCGAAAUGCGAUACGUAGUGUGAAUUGCAGAAUUCCGUGAAUCAUCAAAUCUUUGAACGCAAAUUGCGCCCAAUGCUUCGGCUGAGGGCAUGUUUGCCUCAGCGUCGGGUUAAUCUCACUUCCCCCUUCCCAAAGCGGAGUGUUGGGAAAGUGGACCUGGCUGUUCCAGAGCUUGAAUGCUUCAUGGCGCUCGUGAAGGGCUCUGGAUCAGCUGAAGAGCAGAGGCUAGCUCAAGGACCCGUCAAGGGCCGCAACUGGGUAGGCAGCUCACGCUUGCUAUUUCUAGUUGUUGGCUUGGGACCAUGAGCUCGGCCCUCAAACAGGAACCUCUUUUUUUUCUCGACCUGAGCUCAAGCAAGACCACCCGCUGAACUUAAGCAUAUCAAUAAGCGGAGGAAAAGAAACUAACAAGGAUUCCCUUAGUAAUGGCGAAUGAAACGGGAAUAGCCCAACUUGAAAAUCUCCCUUUGGAGAAUUGUAGUCUAGAGAAGCGCCCUCUGCGGCGGCCGGAGCCUAAGUCCGUUGGAAAACGGCGUCAGAGAGGGUGAGAACCCCGUCGGCUCUAGGCUUAGCUGCUCCACGAGGUGCUUUCCACGAGUCGGGUUGUUUGGGAAUGCAGCCCAAAAUGGGAGGUACAUCCCUUCUAAGGCUAAAUACUGGCGAGAGACCGAUAGCGAACAAGUACCGUGAGGGAAAGAUGAAAAGAACUUUGAAAAGAGAGUUAAAAAGUGCUUGAAAUUGUUGAGAGGGAAGCGUUUGGAGGUUAUAGGUGCGCCUAGGCUUAUACGAUUCUAACGAGCCGUUGUAUGUGCUAGGUGCUGGUCAACAUGGGUUAGCCUGGCGGGAUAACAGCGGGGGUUGAUACCCCGUCUAUGCCGCCGGGUUGAUCAAGGUGUGAAUGGCGCUCUGUCCUUCGGGAACUGCGUCAUCAAGAUGUUGGCAGAAGGCCUUCAAACGA